RNAcentral lists this ribosomal RNA (253 nucleotides) under uncultured bacterium. RNAcentral describes it as "partial 16S ribosomal RNA". It matches the Rfam family "Bacterial small subunit ribosomal RNA", at positions 524 to 776 of the family's 1533-position model. The record is from RNAcentral.
UACGGGGGGGGCAAGCGUUGUUCGGAAUUACUGGGCGUAAAGGGCUCGUAGGCGGCCAACUAAGUCAGACGUGAAAUCCCUAGGCUCAACCUAGGAACUGCGUCUGAUACUGGAUGGCUUGAAUCCGGGAGAGGGAUGCAGAAUUCCAGGUGUAGCGGUGAAAUGCGUAGAUAUCUGGAGGAAUACCGGCGGCGAAGGCGGCAUCCUGGACCGGCAUUGACGCUGAGGAGCGAAAGCCAGGGGAGCAAACGGG